AGUUUGUAGAGCAGAAGCGCUAGCACGCGUGCAUGAGUAAGUGUCAUAUGCGGAACCGGUGCUGUCGUUCGCUUUGCGUAAUUAGAAGUCUAGUCGGCAGUUUUCAUUUUGGAUGUUUAUUCGCUUGUACUUCAUUUCAAACCAUGUCCAGUGCAGUCAGUGGUACAAACCCAAAACGAGAAGUGAAGCGGAGGAACAAGUCGUGCUUCAUUGCCAGGCCCAUUAACUUGUGUGAUCGGUGAGGCAGUACUUUGAAGAAGAGAAGGCAAAAGUUCAGCUCACACAUCUUGAUGGUUGGGAGGUAAAGAGAUGUGGAGCGGCUUUGAAAUUACCGGAUUAAUUCGAAAACCUGAAGAAUCUGCGGUCAUCCGGAGUUAUUGUAGCUGCUGACUCUGAUUGAACUUUGGUGCGAAGUGGAUCACCAAGGUAACAACCAUUCUUUUUUCAAUUAUGAACUGAUGAAAGCUCAAGUGGCUUUAUUAUCCUGGCCUUACACACAUAUAUAAAUUAAUUAUUAUGAAUCAGACUAUUUUCAUGUCAUGGUCAGUGAGAAACUAGGGAAGUAAUAAUGAGAGUUUGGCCAUCUUUGGGUUAAGUGCCUACUUUGCUGCUGCCUCGCAUUGUUAACUUCACUUAAUUUGUUUCUGAACCAGUAUCAAAUGUUCAAAAUAAAAUCUGGUUCCUCCAAUUUGCUAUAUAUGUUGUGCACAUCUGGUGAGUUAAUAUGUUUUAUUAUCUGGUAAUGUGCAUAGACACUACUUCAUCACAGAGUAAAUUUACACUGUUGUUAUGCUGUAUAGUUCAAUUUUGAGGUUGUGUGUGUGUGUGUGUGUGUGUGUGUCCCCUAUACUUUUCAUAAUAAAAUCAUGUAAUUAGUUAACAUCAUUUGUUUCACAGCUAGCCUGACAUGGCUCAGAACAACUAAGUUUACAGGAGCCUGCCCUCUCCUUUCCAGAAGGGAAUGAGCGAUGAGUUAAAAGAAAGAAAAAAAAUUAAAAGAAUGGACAGUGGGAAACAGGCUCGCAUUAGAUCAAUGGCUGACCCGUGGGCUGAAUACACGGUCUGUGCUAGGAUUGGGGUGGCCAACUGACAGCAGGCAGUGUUGCAUUCUCUGUUGUAUGUGAGAGACUGCAAACUGUCUUCCACAGUGUGUCCUGUGGACAUAGAUAAAAUUGACACAGACUUGAACAAUGUAGGUAGAGAAGAGGAUUUUUCUUUUGGGCAUAAGGACCAGUGAACACAGUGAUAGAGAGAGAUGGCAUGGCAAGUGUUGUGAAUUUUGUUGAUUCCGCAGAGCGCUCAGAGAAAAGUUGCUGGUAGAUUUGUUUUACUGCUUUUACUUCUUUGGACUAAAAGAUCAUUUGGAAUUGCAACAUUAUUCGUGAUUUAGUUUCCCCAAAUAUGUGGCAAAAUUUUAUUCAGUGGUCCCUCAACAGUCUAACUUUGAGAGACUCCUACUUUUCAGUUAUUGUUGAAAUGUUACAUUUUUCCAUACAGAGUCCAUUUAUCACCUACAAUUAUUAGACAUAAUGAUAGAAACAGGACACUGGCCUGAUUUCAUUACAAAAUAUAAAACAUAAUUGAGAGAUAACGAAUCAAUAAAGUACAUUACUCUGCCUGCUGUGUUACAAUAAAAGUCAUGAAAUUUUAACACAAAAUCCAGUUUCAUACGGAUAUAAUACAAUAUCUAAGAUAUUCUAAGAUUUUAAAGUUGCCUUUUACAAAUUUGAAUGAAAUGGUAAAUGAGUUCGGCAACAGAUCUAUUCAUGAAACUAAGAGCUUCUCUAAGAGAAAAAUUGUUCUGUGCUGUUGAAAUAUUGUACUGUGCAAUUGUUCUUGGAUGGCAGUAU
Molecule: long non-coding RNA, 1850 nt
Organism: Schistocerca gregaria
Lineage: Eukaryota; Metazoa; Arthropoda; Insecta; Orthoptera; Acrididae
Exons: 2
Source: RefSeq, a predicted model, not a curated record